Molecule: ribosomal RNA, 254 nt
Filed under: uncultured bacterium
Lineage: Bacteria
Description: partial 16S ribosomal RNA
Rfam family: Bacterial small subunit ribosomal RNA
Source: RNAcentral
UACGUAGGGAGCAAGCGUUGUUCGGAUUUACUGGGCGUAAAGGGCGCGUAGGCGGCGCGGUAAGUCACUUGUGAAAUCUCUGAGCUUAACUCAGAACGGCCAAGUGAUACUGCAGUGCUAGAGUGCAGAAAGGGCAAUCGGAAUUCUUGGUGUAGCGGUGAAAUGCGUAGAUAUCAAGAGGAACACCUGAGGCGAAGGCGGGUUGCUAGGCUGACACUGACGCUGAGUGCGCGAAAGCCAGGGGAGCAAGCGGG